AUGCCAAUUAAGUCAAUGUUGGACCAGAUAAUGUGGAAGCUAACAAACAGGAUUGUUGGUAAGCAGAGAGAGGCAGAGAAAUGGACAGGCAGAUUAUGUCCCAAGAUACAGAAGAAAUUGGACAAGUAUGUGGAGUGGGCAAAGAACUGCAGGGUGCAAGAGUAUGGGCAAGGUGUUUUCAAGGUUUUCUCUUUGAACAACACAUACAUUGUUGACCUGAACAUGCUCUCUUGUGAAUGCAAAAGGUGGGUACUAUCUGGCAUACCUUGCCAUCAUGCAAUUGCAUGUUUUAGGCAUGAGAGAAUUGAGCCAGAGAGCAUGGUCCAUUCAUGCUACACUAUUGAGGAAUAUAAGAAGUGUUAUGGAUUUAAUAUGAUGCCAAUGAGGGACCCACAGCAAUAA
This 402-nucleotide ribosomal RNA is filed under the name Triticum aestivum (bread wheat). Its description in RNAcentral is "partial small subunit ribosomal RNA". The record is from RNAcentral. Lineage: Eukaryota; Viridiplantae; Streptophyta; Magnoliopsida; Poales; Poaceae.